UCGGGAAUUUUGGGCAAUGGGCGAAAGCCUGACCCAGCAACGCCGCGUGAAGGAUGAAGUAUUUCGGUAUGUAAACUUCGUAAGAAUAGGAAGAAUAAAUGACGGUACUAUUUAUAAGGAUCGGCUAACUUCGUGCCAGCAGCCGCGGUAAUACGUAGGGACCAAGCGUUGUUCGGAUUUACUGGGCGUAAAGGGCGUGUAGGCGGCAAUUCAAGUCAUCUGUGAAAUCUCCGGGCUUAACUCGGAACGGUCAGAUGAUACUGCUUUGCUAGAGUGCAGAAGGGGCAAUCGGAAUUCUUGGUGUAGCGGUGAAAUGCGUAGAUAUCAAGAGGAACACCUGAGGUGAAGACGGGUUGCUGGGCUGACACUGACGCUGAGGCGCGAAAGCCAGGGGAGCAAACAGGAUUAGAUACCCAAGUAGUCCCUGAGCGGGCUGGCAAGGCGCAU
Molecule: ribosomal RNA, 447 nt
Filed under: uncultured bacterium
Lineage: Bacteria
Description: bacterial SSU rRNA
Rfam family: Bacterial small subunit ribosomal RNA
Source: RNAcentral